Molecule: long non-coding RNA, 1333 nt
Organism: Pongo pygmaeus (Bornean orangutan)
Lineage: Eukaryota; Metazoa; Chordata; Mammalia; Primates; Hominidae
Exons: 3
Source: RefSeq, a predicted model, not a curated record
GACAAGUGAGAAGAGUGAGCUACAGGGAAGCCAUUGCCUCUACCCAGGUCAAACUGUAAGUUAAGAGGGAGCUGCGAGCAGAGCUGAGUUCUCCUGAUUCCAGGCCAGCUCAUUAGUGCCUGUCUCAUGACAUUCUUUGACCAUUUCUUCCUUAUCUUUUUCUCUUAAAUGUUUUAAUUAGAUAUUGGGAAUAUAUAAAACUGUUUAUAGACUAAAUCUAAGAUACAAGAACAAUGACACAAAAUCCACCCAGUAUAACAAGUGAACAUUACCAUCACCUUCUAAUUCCCUAACUUGUCUUCCCCAUCCCAUUUUCAUCCCUCUCAGUGGAACCGCUAUCUGGUAAUAUUAUUGGUCAUUUCCUUUCUUAAUAAUUUUUACUACAAGUAUUUUCAUCUCCAAAUGAUAUAUGGGUUUACAUUAUUGUGAGUUUUAUGUAAAUGGAAUAAUACCAUGUGCAUUCUUCUGUUAUUGGCUGUUUUUCACUCAAUGUUAUGUUUGAGAUUUAUCCAAGUUGCUCUAGUUUGCUAGUUUUCACUGCUAUGUAAGAGUUCAUCAUGUGACUAUAACAUUAUUUAUCCUGGCUAUUGCUAAUUAUCAUUUUGGGUUAUUUCUAUUUCCCCCAUUACAAACAGUGCUUCUGUGACCAUUCCUGUAGAUAUCUCCUAGGAUACGCGCCAGAGUUGCUGGAGGCUGGAGUGCUGUGGCGCGAUCUCGGCUCACUGCAACCUCUGCCUCCCGGGUUCAAGCAAUUCUCCUGUCUCAGCUUCCCGAGUAGCUGGGAUUACAGAUGGGGUGUUGCUCUGUUGCCCAGGCUGGAGUGCAGUGAUGCUAUCAUGUGUCACUGCAACUUCAAGCUCCUGGGUCAAACGAUCCUCCUGCCUCAGCUCCCCAAGUACCUGGGACUACAAGUGCAUGCUGCCACACCCGGUUAAUUUUUAAAAUUUUUUGUUGAGACAAAGUUUCACUAUGUUGCCUGGGCUGGUCUCAAACUCCUGGUCUCAAACAAUCUGCCUGCUUCUGCCUCCCAAAGUGUUGGGAUUGCAGGUAUGAGCCACCGUGCCCGGCCCGAUGCUUAUUUUUGUCUAUUUAUUUUUCUCAGUGAAAAUACUUUCCUCCCUUAUUAUAUCAAUAAACUCAGUGAUGGUAAAGAAUUUGAAAAAUAUUUUAAGAUGUAAAGAAAAAGACGUCAUCUGAAGUCCUAUCUCCGUGAAAUAACCAUUGGUUUGAUUAUAUCCUUUUAUGCAUCUGUUUUUAGAUAUAUGAUUUUUCAUGUAUGGGAUCAUAUAAUACAUGGUGAUUUAUUGGUGAUAUUUAAAAUUUUUUUAUUUUU